AGUGAACGCUGGCGGUAGGCCUAACACAUGCAAGUCGAACGGCAGCACAGUAAGAGCUUGCUCUUACGGGUGGCGAGUGGCGGACGGGUGAGGAAUACAUCGGAAUCUACUAUUUCGUGGGGGAUAACGUAGGGAAACUUACGCUAAUACCGCAUACGACCUACGGGUGAAAGCAGGGGAGCUUCGGACCUUGCGCGAUUGAAUUAGCCGAUGUCGGACUAGCUAGUUGGCGGGGUAAAGGCCCACCAAGGCGACGAUCCGUAGCUGGUCUGAGAGGAUGAUCGGCCACACUGGAACUGAGACACCGUCCAGACUCCUACGGGAGGCAGCAGUGGGGAAUAUUGGGCAAUGGGCGGAAGCCUGAUCCAGCCAUACCGCGUGGGUGAAGAAGGCCUUCGGGUUGUAAAGCCCUUUUGUUGGGAAAGAAAAGCAGCAGGUUAAUACCCCGCUGUUCUGACGGUACCCAAAGAAUAAGCACCGGCUAACUACGUG
This 492-nucleotide ribosomal RNA is filed under the name uncultured bacterium. Its description in RNAcentral is "partial 16S ribosomal RNA". It matches the Rfam family "Bacterial small subunit ribosomal RNA", at positions 29 to 507 of the family's 1533-position model. The record is from RNAcentral.